GACGAACGCUGGCGGCGUGCCUAAUACAUGCAAGUCGAACGCUUCUUUCCUCCCGAGUGCUUGCACUCAAUUGGAAAGAGGAGUGGCGGACGGGUGAGUAACACGUGGGUAACCUACCCAUCAGAGGGGGAUAACACUUGGCAACAGGUGCUAAUACCGCAUAACAGUUUAUGCCGCAUGGCAUAAGAGUGAAAGGCGCUUUCGGGUGUCGCUGAUGGAUGGACCCGCGGUGCAUUAGCUAGUUGGUGAGGUAACGGCUCACCAAGGCCACGAUGCAUAGCCGACCUGAGAGGGUGAUCGGCCACACUGGGACUGAGACACGGCCCAGACUCCUACGGGAGGCAGCAGUAGGGAAUCUUCGGCAAUGGACGAAAGUCUGACCGAGCAACGCCGCGUGAGUGAAGAAGGUUUUCGGAUCGUAAAACUCUGUUGUUAGGGAAGAACAAGGACGUUAGUAACUGAACGUCCCCUGACGGUAUCUAACCAGAAAGCCACGGCUAACUACGUG
RNAcentral lists this ribosomal RNA (508 nucleotides) under uncultured bacterium. RNAcentral describes it as "partial 16S ribosomal RNA". It matches the Rfam family "Bacterial small subunit ribosomal RNA", at positions 28 to 507 of the family's 1533-position model. The record is from RNAcentral.